RNAcentral lists this ribosomal RNA (275 nucleotides) under uncultured bacterium. RNAcentral describes it as "partial 16S ribosomal RNA". It matches the Rfam family "Bacterial small subunit ribosomal RNA", at positions 523 to 796 of the family's 1533-position model. The record is from RNAcentral.
AUACGUAGGGAGCAAACGUUGUCCGGAUUUAUUGGGCGUAAAGGGCUCGUAGGCGGUUCAACAAGUCGGUCGUGAAAGCCCGGGGCUCAACCCCGGGACGCCGGUCGAAACUGUUGUGACUUGAGUUCGGUAGAGGUGAGUGGAAUUCUCGGUGUAGCGGUGGAAUGCGCAGAUAUCGAGAGGAACACCAUUAGCGAAGGCGGCUCACUGGGCCGAUACUGACGCUGAGGAGCGAAAGCGUGGGGAGCAAACAGGAUUAGAAACCCUAGUAGUCC